This 518-nucleotide ribosomal RNA is filed under the name uncultured bacterium. RNAcentral describes it as "partial 16S ribosomal RNA". The record is from RNAcentral.
ACUGACAGCCAUGGUUACCGCGGCUGCUGGCACGGAGUUAGCCGGUGCUUCUUCUGUGAGUGAUGUCCUUCCUGCCGGCUAUUAACCCGCAGGCCUUCUUCCUCACUGAAAGUGCUUUACAACCCGAAGGCCUUCUUCACACACGCGGCAUGGCUGGAUCAGGGUUGCCCCCAUUGUCCAAUAUUCCCCACUGCUGCCUCCCGUAGGAGUCUGGGCCGUGUCUCAGUCCCAGUGUGGCUGAUCAUCCUCUCAGACCAGCUACGGAUCGUCGCCUUGGUGAGCCGUUACCUCACCAACCAGCUAAUCCGACAUAGGCUCAUCCGAUAGCGCGAGGCCCGAAGGUCCCCCGCUUUCCCCCGUAGGGCGUAUGCGGUAUUAGCCUGGGUUUCCCCAGGUUAUCCCCCACUACCGGGCAGAUUCCUAUGCAUUACUCACCCGUCCGCCGCUCGCCACCAGGGAGCAAGCUCCCCGUGCUGCCGCUCGACUUGCAUGUGUUAGGCCUGCCGCCAGCGUUCAAU